RNAcentral lists this ribosomal RNA (524 nucleotides) under uncultured bacterium. RNAcentral's name for it is "bacterial SSU rRNA". It matches the Rfam family "Bacterial small subunit ribosomal RNA", at positions 355 to 895 of the family's 1533-position model. The record is from RNAcentral.
UGGGGAAUAUUGGACAAUGGGGGCAACCCUGAUCCAGCCAUGCCGCGUGAGUGAUGAAGGCCUUAGGGUCGUAAAGCUCUUUCGCCUGUGAAGAUAAUGACGGUAGCAGGUAAAGAAACCCCGGCUAACUCCGUGCCAGCAGCCGCGGUAAUACGGAGGGGGUUAGCGUUGUUCGGAAUUACUGGGCGUAAAGCGCACGUAGGCGGACCAGAAAGUUGGGGGUGAAAUCCCGGGGGCUCAACCCCGGAACUGCCUCCAAAACUAUUGGUCUAGAGUUCGAGAGAGGUGAGUGGAAUUCCAAGUGUAGAGGUGAAAUUCGUAGAUAUUUGGAGGAACACCAGUGGCGAAGGCGGCUCACUGGCUCGAUACUGACGCUGAGGUGCGAAAGUGUGGGGAGCAAACAGGAUUAGAUACCCUGGUAGUCCACACCGUAAAACGAUGAAUGCCAGUCGUCGGGUAGCAUGCUAUUCGGUGACACACCUAACGGAUUAAGCAUUCCGCCUGGGGAGUACGGUCGCAAGAUU